GACGAACGCUGGCGGCGUGCCUAACACAUGCAAGUCGAACGGUAAGGCCCUGCGUUUGUGCGGUUCUGGAGUGCCGAUAGCGUGAGUGUAACGUGUGUAACCUGCUCUUGUCUUUGGUGUAACAUAAGGAAACUCGAGUUAAUAUACGACAGGAGAUCAUGCUGCAUUGUGUGUAUGGGAAAGUCUCGCCGGUUGGGGAUGCACGCGCGGCUUAUCAGUUUGUUGGUGGGGUAGUGGCUUACCCACGCGUUGACGGGUAGCCAGCUUGAGAGGGUGACCGGCCACAUUGGGACUGAGGUAGGGCCCAGACGGCUACGGGAGGCAGCGGUGGGGAAUAUUGCACAAUGGGCGGAAGCAGGAUGCAGCAACGUCGCGUGCGGAAUGACGGCUUUUGGGUUGUAAACCGCUUUCGCCUGUGACGAAGCGUGAGUGACGGUAACGAGUAAAGAAGCACCGGCUAACUACGUG
RNAcentral lists this ribosomal RNA (468 nucleotides) under uncultured bacterium. Its description in RNAcentral is "partial 16S ribosomal RNA". It matches the Rfam family "Bacterial small subunit ribosomal RNA", at positions 28 to 507 of the family's 1533-position model. The record is from RNAcentral.